RNAcentral lists this long non-coding RNA (258 nucleotides) under Carica papaya (papaya). RNAcentral describes it as "long non-coding RNA (CPAP_LNC012698)". Lineage: Eukaryota; Viridiplantae; Streptophyta; Magnoliopsida; Brassicales; Caricaceae. The record is from RNAcentral.
AAGCUAGUAAAGAUAUGGGGAUUUAAUUAAUCAAGCAUUGUCUUAAGAAAUUAUUAAAAAAAAAAAAAAAAAUUUCAGGACUUUCUGGUUUUCGUUCCAGGUUUAAGUUGAAAACUUUUCGACAUGUACGAGCAUGGAAAUGAAAAUCCAAUGUGCCUAAAUAUUUAAUAUUUAAUCCCAGUUGUUGCCAUAAAUGCCCUCUGCUAUUACUCCUCUAAAAAAAACUCACCCUGUGAACCCUAGGCCUUUUGCUUCUAC